RNAcentral lists this transfer RNA (67 nucleotides) under Laetmonice producta. RNAcentral describes it as "tRNA-Ser". Lineage: Eukaryota; Metazoa; Annelida; Polychaeta; Phyllodocida; Aphroditidae. The record is from RNAcentral.
AAGAAAACUAAGCAGCUAACAAAGCUUCUAACUUUGUGAGGAGAUGUUCAACCCAUUUCUUUUCUUA